ACGUAGGGUGCAGGCGUUAAUCGGAAUUACUGGGCGUAAAGCGUGCGCAGGCGGUCUGCUAAGAGAGGUGUGAAAUCCCCCGGCUUAACCUGGGAACUGCGUCUGAUACUGGACGGCUUGAGUUUGGGAGAGGGAUGCGGAAUUCCAGGUGUAGCGGUGAAAUGCGUAGAUAUCUGGAGGAACACCGGUGGCGAAGGCGGCAUCCUGGACCGGCAUUGACGCUGAGGCGCGAAAGCCAGGGGAGCAAACGGGA
This 253-nucleotide ribosomal RNA is filed under the name uncultured prokaryote. RNAcentral describes it as "partial 16S ribosomal RNA". It matches the Rfam family "Bacterial small subunit ribosomal RNA", at positions 525 to 777 of the family's 1533-position model. The record is from RNAcentral.